AACACUGUGUACUUGUCAAGUGCUCAUCAUGGAUGAGGUGAAAGGGAAUCGGGUGAGAAUCCCGAGCGAUCCGGUCACUGUAUUCGGGGAGCAAACCGCAGGGAGGGAGACCUCUCAGGCCAUUGCCGGGCGUAUGCCGGUGAGAAGGCGCGGGGCGCGUGGAUCCGUAAGUCAGGAAACCUGCUUGACAGGAACGAUGGGG
This 202-nucleotide non-coding RNA is filed under the name Pseudoflavonifractor capillosus. Lineage: Bacteria; Bacillati; Bacillota; Clostridia; Eubacteriales; Oscillospiraceae. RNAcentral also lists the same sequence under 1 other name. The record is from RNAcentral.